RNAcentral lists this transfer RNA (69 nucleotides) under Ictidomys tridecemlineatus (thirteen-lined ground squirrel). RNAcentral describes it as "Spermophilus tridecemlineatus (thirteen-lined ground squirrel) tRNA". It matches the Rfam family "tRNA". Rfam says of the family: Transfer RNA (tRNA) molecules are approximately 80 nucleotides in length. Their secondary structure includes four short double-helical elements and three loops (D, anti-codon, and T loops). Lineage: Eukaryota; Metazoa; Chordata; Mammalia; Rodentia; Sciuridae. The record is from Rfam by way of RNAcentral.
GGGGUUGUGGUUCAGCAGUAGAGUGUGCACCUCUCAUGUGUGAGACCCUGAGUUCGAUCCUCAGCACCA